RNAcentral lists this ribosomal RNA (599 nucleotides) under Priestia megaterium. RNAcentral describes it as "bacterial SSU rRNA". It matches the Rfam family "Bacterial small subunit ribosomal RNA", at positions 100 to 683 of the family's 1533-position model. The record is from RNAcentral. Lineage: Bacteria; Bacillati; Bacillota; Bacilli; Caryophanales; Bacillaceae.
GGACGGGUGAGUAACACGUGGGCAACCUGCCUGUAAGACUGGGAUAACUUCGGGGAAACCGAAGCUAAUACCGGAUAGGAUCUUCUCCUUCAUGGGAGAUGAUUGAAAGAUGGUUUCGGCUAUCACUUACAGAUGGGCCCGCGGUGCAUUAGCUAGUUGGUGAGGUAACGGCUCACCAAGGCAACGAUGCAUAGCCGACCUGAGAGGGUGAUCGGCCACACUGGGACUGAGACACGGCCCAGACUCCUACGGGAGGCAGCAGUAGGGAAUCUUCCGCAAUGGACGAAAGUCUGACGGAGCAACGCCGCGUGAGUGAUGAAGGCUUUCGGGUCGUAAAACUCUGUUGUUAGGGAAGAACAAGUACGAGAGUAACUGCUUGUACCUUGACGGUACCUAACCAGAAAGCCACGGCUAACUACGUGCCAGCAGCCGCGGUAAUACGUAGGUGGCAAGCGUUAUCCGGAAUUAUUGGGCGUAAAGCGCGCGCAGGCGGUUUCUUAAGUCUGAUGUGAAAGCCCACGGCUCAACCGUGGAGGGUCAUUGGAAACUGGGGAACUUGAGUGCGGAAGAGAAACACGGAAUCAGCACAGGUAGCCGCA